CAAUGAUGUUUUGGUAGUUUCUUCUAUUGAGAGGGCUGAUUCUUUGAAUGAUCCUUUUGUGCCUAAUGACUUUGUGGAAGAUGGUUCUAAUGCUAUGUCUUUGGUAGUUAUUUUUGUCUUGUUCUCUACUUUCAUUUUCGUUUUUAUUCUUUCUUUCAGUUUAUUAAAAUUUCUGUUUGUUGACUGAAUUAUUUUUUAGGAUCUUUCUAGUGAUGAUAGGGGUUUUGAUAAAACUAUUUUCAAUUUCUAUGUGAAUCAUGUGAGUCUUUCUGAUCUAGUUACAACUAAUGACUUAUCUUUUUUAUUCACAAGAAUUACAAUGUAAUUUAGCCUAAAAUUACAGUGUAGUAUGCCCCUAGUAUUACAGUGUAAUGUAUCCAAAAAUUUCAUUGCAAUCCCCAUGCUUCCUUUAUGUAAUUGCAGUGUAAUAUACCCUAGAAUUGCAGUGUAAUUUAGCCCAGGUUUUAGUGUAGUCCCAAUGCUUCAUUUUUUUAAAUGACAGUGUAAUUUUCCCGGAAUUACAGUGUAAUUUUCCUAGAAUUACAGUGUAAACUCCAUGCUUCAUUUAUGUAAUUACAGUGUAAUUUUCCCCAUAAUUACAGUGUAAACUUCAUGCUUUAUUUAUGUAAUUGUAGUGUAAUUAUUCCCCGAAUUGCAGUGUAAAUUUUCCUAGAAAUUCAGUGUAAUUUUUCUUCUUCUAAACAAAGUAGUGUAAUUUUCCCGAUGAACCUCUGUAUUAUUUGAUAUUUGGGCUUCAUUCUUGUUCAGAUUUGCUUGAAUUACAGUGGAUUUUAACUCUGCUUUGUGUGAUUAUCCUUGUGUAGUCUCUUGGUUAUUAUCAUUGUAAUCCACUAGUGUGAUUAUUCAUUUCCUUCACUGUCCAUGUGUACCAGCACUGUAACAAACUCUACUUUUGAUUGUCAAUAUUAAUGCAUUCAUCUGAUAGGACUUGUGUUCUUUAUGCUGAUAGGUCUGUCUCUGUAUUCAUGACUUCAUAUGAACUUGCAUGUAUCUCUGUACUUAUUCUGUUCAGCUUUUGCUUGAUUUUCCGGUGGAUUUUAACUCUUUGAAUUACAGUGUAAUACCUCUUAAUUUCUCUGUAAUUUCCACUAUAUUUGUAGUGUAAUAUUCCCCAGGAUUACAUUGUAAUAUACAUACCCCAAAUUUAUAUUGUAAUAUCCCCCAGAAUCACAUUGUAAUUCUGAAUUGUAUUAAAUAAUGCUGGAAUACGGUGUAAUAUUCCCCCAGUUUGCAUUGUAUGUCAUGUAGGUAUUACACUGGAAUUCAUCUCAUUUUUCCAUGAAUGUCAUGAGUUGUCUAACUCUGUAAUUUCCCCUGAGUUCAUGUUAGCUACAUUGCCAUGUAUCGCAGCAAAGAUUUUUUCAUGUGUACUACAACACAACUUUUUUCAUGUAAUUUCCUCAUGGUUCAUGUUACCUACAUUGCCCUAUACUGCAGCAAAGUUUUUUUUUCAUGUGUACGUUACACUGGAAUUCAUGUUGGUGUAGUGUUUUGACAGUGGAAUAUUAACAGUUUUAACUUCCGACAGUUAGAAUUUUCCCCCUGACGAUUCCAAAAUUCUCACUAGAUUGUAUGAUGGUUUUUUUGCAGGCUAGUUCAUGUAGCAGGUGUAUGUAGAGCAGCAGGGUGAGGAAAAACAUGGAAGAGUUCAAUAGAAGUGUGAUCAAAAGGAGUAGGACAUUUCGUGAGCUGUGGACCGUCUCUUGGAUGAUCUUCCUUUUUCCACCACCAAUUAUUCAGAUCUGUUCUUCCCCCUUGCUUCUCUCCAG
Molecule: ribosomal RNA, 1790 nt
Filed under: Triticum aestivum (bread wheat)
Lineage: Eukaryota; Viridiplantae; Streptophyta; Magnoliopsida; Poales; Poaceae
Description: partial small subunit ribosomal RNA
Source: RNAcentral